This 253-nucleotide ribosomal RNA is filed under the name uncultured bacterium. Its description in RNAcentral is "partial 16S ribosomal RNA". It matches the Rfam family "Bacterial small subunit ribosomal RNA", at positions 524 to 776 of the family's 1533-position model. The record is from RNAcentral.
UACGGAGGGUGCGAGCGUUGUCCGGAAUCAUUGGGCGUAAAGGGCGCGUAGGUGGCGGGACAAGCGUGCGGUGAAAGCUCGGGGCUCAACCCCGAGUCGGCCGUGCGAACUGUUUUGCUUGAGCACUGUAGAGGCAGGCGGAAUUCCGGGUGUAGCGGUGGAAUGCGUAGAGAUCCGGAAGAACACCGGUGGCGAAGGCGGCCUGCUGGGCAGUAGCUGACACUGAGGCGCGACAGCGUGGGGAGCGAACAGG